UAAGCAAAUUAAGCCCCAAAGCACAGGAUAAUUUUCUAUUUCUGAACUGAUUUGUAAGAGAAUGGGUAACUGAAAUUAGCAAAGAAUCACCCCACACAAAGAUGGCGCGUGCAGAAUUUGUGAAAGCGAAAAAGAAGGCGAAGGAGAAGCAAAAGAGGGACGGAAUACUGCAGAGCUGGGGUGGAUUUUGCCGCAGUAUACAUCUGCAGUCCCAGAAUCCUUUGCCAUGAAACGAACUUCCUUAGUAAGACAAACCAAUGAAGGCCUUGCGAACACUUACCUCCAAGCCUGAAGGGUGUCCCUGGCAUAAGUGAAACCACCAGGAACGGGACUACCACGGUAGCCCUUGCCACGACCACCAUGCCCAUCGCCUCCGCCACCUUCGCCACCCCCUCCCUUGCUCUGCAGUACACAUCGGCUGCAAGCUUACCACAGUGGCUCUCGGCCGAAUUUGCGCAGUGGGUUCCUAGAUUACUUCUGUGUGUGAGAAUAGCCAACCAUGUAGUCUGACAAGAGGCAUUUACAACUACUUAGCCUGUUCAGCUGGAAAGAAAUCAAAAGAUAACACUGAACCCUGAGAUGAUGUAUUGCAAAUCAAAAGUCCCAAUCCAUAAAUAGCCCUCUUGAUGAACUGC
Molecule: long non-coding RNA, 635 nt
Organism: Tupaia belangeri chinensis (Chinese tree shrew)
Lineage: Eukaryota; Metazoa; Chordata; Mammalia; Scandentia; Tupaiidae
Exons: 3
Source: RefSeq, a predicted model, not a curated record